This is a long non-coding RNA of Dreissena polymorpha, 4104 nucleotides long. RefSeq lists it as uncharacterized. NCBI's taxonomy places the organism in Eukaryota, Metazoa, Mollusca, Bivalvia, Myida, Dreissenidae. The transcript has 3 exons. The record is from RefSeq and is a predicted model, not a curated record.
CCAUCUUUGAAAUUAUACCAGGUUCGGAAAAAUUGAUACGUCGGAAAGGCAAUAAAAAUGCUGUGAAAGUUGUCAGUUUUAUAAUGGGACCCUAUGGGAAUCGGAAUUAGUGUAAUAUAACCUUUAAAAAGCACAUUAACUGCAAUGUCAAGGUCACAUGGAUUCGUCUGCAAGCGAGACAAGUAGAAAAUGAAUUUUAAUGAAUGUUUUGAUGAUUUGGGUGCUAAAAUAGAUGAGAGAUGUCAAUAUUUUGGUCCAAAUGGAUGUUUUAGGUGGUUUUGGACUGUUCCGGAUGGGUGGGGGACCUGGUAUGGACAAGUAAGGGUAACAUUUCCAACAAAUCUUAAAUGUAAAUAUUAUUAUGUCCCUAGAUUGAAGUUUCAGGUGGAGAGCAAGAUGAAAAAUAUGCCAAAUUACAUGCAUGCAGCCCAUUUAUGCCAUUUUUCUCUUUGUUUGUAGGCCUGACUGUUUGUCCUUGAGCCGUAGAUGGUCAACAAUCCGCUAGCUGUCUUGCUCUGACUGGUGCACUGGACAUGAUUUCAAUAGUUAGCCAGACCAUGAUUGAGCUUAAGGAUUGUGCUGCGGAUGCAGCCUGUGCAGUUCCGGGAGAAAGUCACUGUCUUGGGCAAUGCGGUCUGGUAUCAGGUCUGGAUGAUCCUUGCCUGACUGCGGGUUUGUGUACACCUCAAUCCGACUCUGUGUCCUGAACAGAGGCCGCAGUGGUGCAGCGCUUGUGGACGAUCCAUCAACAUCCUGAAAGGUCAACACUACACCAAGCUGGGAAAAUUGAUCCUGAUAGUCAUCCCCAGGUAGUGGAAUGAAUGUACACUGAACUACAGAGGAAUCACACCCAAAUGACUUUCCUGCCACGACAUUAGUGUGGCCACUCGCGUAGGAAUUCCUUAGCAAACGUGCUCUUUUGCAUGGUGACUGUGGGCAUUUUUGCAAAACUUACGCUUUCAACACUGGAUUUUAAAGAGAAUACUUAAUAAAAUGUCGCUAACAGGACUUAUUUAUAUGAGAGAGACUAUCUGGAUGCGCAUUAAGUGUCACUUUGUGUCGUAAGCUGUUGAAGGAGCGCUUUGCGCCUUUUUAAGUGUUAAUUUUGGGUAGCCGGCUUGUAUCGGCUUGAAAGCUGCAAAUUAUGCCUCUCAUCAUAAUAGCAUUAAUUUUUGUAAUUGCAAUGUGUAUGUUUAGAUUGUAAGUGAAGCUUUUAAUAAUAAUUCUCUUAAAAAACAUGAUUUUAUAUGCUGUCAGUGAGUUUUUUAUUGAAAAAAAUGCUUAAAAUUAAAAAAAAGUCUCCUAUUUCAUCAAGAAAAGUACACUGAUUCACAAUCAAUACAUUUAUUUGGGCCUUUUGCUGAUAUAUUGGUGAAUUUCGCAUGCAAUGAUACCAGUUUUUGCCAUAAAAGUUACGCGUAACAAUAAUUGGAGACACAAAAUCAGCUGUCGUCACUUAGACUAAAAAUCAUGCAUUCCGACUUGACUGCGGCCAAUUUAGUCACCGCUUUAAAUGGCCAUUUUAAGGCCUUUACCCCCAUCCGAAUGCACUGAAAUUGCAUAUUCAUUGUGGAAAUAGUUGAAAUCUCAUGUGGAGAAAGUUUGAAAAAGAUGGGACAAAGUUGAGUUCCCUUAAAGGUUACAUUACACUAAAUCAUUGUGUAUCCCUCCGUGGUCCAUUCGAAAGUAGUGCCUAUUUCUAAAGAGUUCCUUUUCUCUUCUUGAAUAUAAGCCAUUUAACAAUGUGAGACAUGUCUUUUGUGGUUAUUUGUAAUAUCCUGUAUGUGUCUGGAGUACUUUGAUGCCUUGGAUUGGAAGCUAACUUAAAAGAUGAACUUUUGAGGGUGUGUUUUCUAUUGUGUGGGGCUUUUGUCGAAAUUAGGAUUCCAAAACGCGUUUUUCUACGGUGGGUUCAUUCGACAGCGAUUUACUUUCUUAGAAGUUGCGAGACGGUAUGUUUUUGAUUGCAAUUAUUGGAAGAUGACAGAUCCAUCUUUGAAAUUAUACCAGGUUCGGAAAAAUUGAUACGUCGGAAAGGCAAUAAAAAUGCUGUGAAAGUUGUCAGUUUUAUAAUGGGACCCUAUGGGAAUCGGAAUUAGUGUAAUAUAACCUAAAGACGCGUGAAAUAAAUAAUGGUGGUCGAAAAAUAAGCAAACUGUAAAAAUCGCAAAACAAUUUAAAGAUACUUGUCCUAUGAUGUACAUAUCGAUCAAUAGAGGUGUUAAUACUGAUUAUAAUUACUGAUAACAAACAUAGAAUUCUUAAGUGUGUUUUGUUUUUGAUGUAGGAAGCCGUGCUAAAUUUUAAUAAUCUUAAUGCUUUUUAAGUUUGUGUUGUUCAUUACAAUUGCUAAUUAAGUGUCAUAUAAAAAGGGUGAUUUGCAGAGUUCUUGAAGCAGUUGCAUUUAGAUAUUCAAAUUGGUAAUUAAGAUAACUAAGAGUAAAAAUGUCCGAAACUCCUUCUAAGCAAAGGCACGUGGAAUUGUAUCUCGAAGAAAAAAUCAUAUUGAUAUAAGAGUCCGAGAUGUUCCCUAAACCUACACUCAAGAUGCCGUUGGAGAAAUAUGGGGUAGGAAAGUCGACGAUCGGGGAUAUCGUGCGAAAAAAGGUUAUGUACAUGUCUCAUUGGGAAAACAACUUGUCACUCAACAAAAGUCGGUUCAAGAAUGAAAUGAAAUUUGAAAACAUCAACAAACUUGUAUGGGACUGGUUUUGUGUUGUAAGGGCCAGGUCAUUGCCGAUCUCUGGUCCGAUCAUACAGGAAAAGGCACUGAGCUUUGCCAAGGAACUAGUUAUUAGUGACUUCAAAGCGUCUAAUGGAUGGCUGUGUCGUUGGAAGACACGGUAUGACAUAAAGGCAUUCAAAGUGUGCAGAGAGAGAGCCAGUGUGGACUUACUUGAUGUGAACACUUUUAAGGACAGAAUUAGUGACUUUAUCGGAACGUAUUCGUAUGAAAACGUGUUCAAUUGUGAUAAGACUGGACUUUACUACCUUGCGUUACCAGACAAGACACUCUCUGCAAAGGGUUCAUCGACCAGUGGAAACAAAACAUCUAAAGGGCGUGUGACUGUUAUGCUAGCUUGCUCAGCCACAGGCGAAAAGUUGAUGACACUCGUGAUAGGGAAAGAAGGCAAGCCACGUUGCUUCAAAAAUGUAAAAGUGAGUGCGCUAGGUGUCCAGUACACGCACAACAAAAAGGCCUGGAUGAAGAGCAAGGUGUUCAGUGACUGGAUUACAAGCGUAAAUGCGGACAUGCGGCAUCAGGGUCGUCACAUACUGCUGAUGUUAGACAACGCUACCUCACAUGGAAAAGAAGAAGACCACCAGCUCCCUCAUGUCAAAGUAUAGUUUCUCCCUGCGAACACCACCAGCCACCUGCAUCCGCUCGAUCAAGGAAUCAUCCGUGCUUUCAAGGCACUCUACCGACGGCGACUACUAAAAUCGCUGAUCAGUAAGUUAGAAACUGUCAGCAAUGUAAAAGAACUGACGAAGGAAAUCUCGCUACUGGACGCCAUCAAGUGGAUUAUAGGUGCGUGGAAAGCAGUGAAGCCAGAGACAAUUGUUAAGUGCUUUGAGGGAGUCGGGUUAAAGGUUUCAAACCAGUGUGAUGGCGAUGAUGGUAACAAUGGGAGUGGGAAUCAUGGUGAUGAUGACGAUGAUGAUGAUGAUGACGACGUGUGACUGGCGGUCUUGGUACUUGAGCUGGCAUUGCAGAUUGCAGACUUCAAUGAAAUCGACAUCGUUAUUCCGACCGAGGACCAUGAUGAAAAUUGGGAAGAAAAUCUCGUGGAAAGCUACAAGACAAACACCAUUACUAAACUCGAGACCGACGAGGCUGAAUCUGAAGAGGAAUCCCCCCACCCCCUGGUAGUGACAUGACCUAUGAAGAAGCUCUUCAGCUCCUUAUCAAGCUUGCAAACUUCGCAAGUGAAAAGGACACUGAAAUGUAUGUUAGUGUAUUAAAAAUGAUUAACAAGAUGGAGAAGACUAUAGUGCGUGGUAGAUGUUUGAAAAAACAGGUCGUUCUUGACAUGUUUUUUAGUGUAAAAAGGAACUUAAGUCACCUAACAAAUGCAUACAUGUAUACAAUUGUUUGUUUUUUCA